GACGAACGCUGGCGGCGUGCUUAACACAUGCAAGUCGAACGGAAAGGCCCUGCUUUUGUGGGGUGCUCGAGUGGCGAACGGGUGAGUAACACGUGAGUAACCUGCCCUUGACUUUGGGAUAACUUCAGGAAACUGGGGCUAAUACCGGAUAGGAGCUACUGCUGCAUGGUGGUGGUUGGAAAGUUUCGGCGGUUGGGGAUGGACUCGCGGCUUAUCAGCUUGUUGGUGGGGUAGUGGCUUACCAAGGCUUUGACGGGUAGCCGGCCUGAGAGGGUGACCGGCCACAUUGGGACUGAGAUACGGCCCAGACUCCUACGGGAGGCAGCAGUGGGGAAUAUUGCACAAUGGGCGGAAGCCUGAUGCAGCAACGCCGCGUGCGGGAUGACGGCCUUCGGGUUGUAAACCGCUUUCGCCUGUGACGAAGCGUGAGUGACGGUAAUGGGUAAAGAAGCACCGGCUAACUACGUG
Molecule: ribosomal RNA, 468 nt
Filed under: uncultured bacterium
Lineage: Bacteria
Description: partial 16S ribosomal RNA
Rfam family: Bacterial small subunit ribosomal RNA
Source: RNAcentral